UGCAAGUCGAGCGGAACGACACUAACAAUCCUUCGGGUGCGUUAAUGGGCGUCGAGCGGCGGACGGGUGAGUAAUGCCUAGGAAAUUGCCUUGAUGUGGGGGAUAACCAUUGGAAACGAUGGCUAAUACCGCAUAAUGCCUACGGGCCAAAGAGGGGGACCUUCGGGCCUCUCGCGUCAAGAUAUGCCUAGGUGGGAUUAGCUAGUUGGUGAGGUAAUGGCUCACCAAGGCGACGAUCCCUAGCUGGUCUGAGAGGAUGAUCAGCCACACUGGAACUGAGACACGGUCCAGACUCCUACGGGAGGCAGCAGUGGGGAAUAUUGCACAAUGGGCGAAAGCCUGAUGCAGCCAUGUCGCGUGUAUGAAGAAGGCCUUCGGGUUGUAAAGUACUUUCAGUUGUGAGGAAGGGGGUAGCGUUAAUAGCGCUAUCUCUUGACGUUAGCAACAGAAGAAGCACCGGCUAACUCCGUGCCAGCAGCCGCGGUAAUACGGAGGGUGCGAGCGUUAAUCGGAAUUACUGGGCGUAAAGCGCAUGCAGGUGGUUCAUUAAGUCAGAUGUGAAAGCCCGGGGCUCAACCUCGGAACUGCAUUUGAAACUGGUGAACUAGAGUACUGUAGAGGGGGGUAGAAUUUCAGGUGUAGCGGUGAAAUGCGUAGAGAUCUGAAGGAAUACCAGUGGCGAAGGCGGCCCCCUGGACAGAUACUGACACUCAGAUGCGAAAGCGUGGGGAGCAAACAGGAUUAGAUAUCCUGGUAGUCCACGCCGUAAACGAUGUCUACUUGGAGGUUGUGGCCUUGAGCCGUGGCUUUCGGAGCUAACGCGUUAAGUAGACCGCCUGGGGAGUACGGUCGCAAGAUUAAAACUCAAAUGAAUUGACGGGGGCCCGCACAAGCGGUGGAGCAUGUGGUUUAAUUCGAUGCAACGCGAAGAACCUUACCUACUCUUGACAUCCAGAGAAGCCAGCGGAGAAGCAGGUGU
This 979-nucleotide ribosomal RNA is filed under the name uncultured bacterium. Its description in RNAcentral is "bacterial SSU rRNA". It matches the Rfam family "Bacterial small subunit ribosomal RNA", at positions 56 to 1015 of the family's 1533-position model. The record is from RNAcentral.